Molecule: ribosomal RNA, 254 nt
Filed under: uncultured bacterium
Lineage: Bacteria
Description: partial 16S ribosomal RNA
Rfam family: Bacterial small subunit ribosomal RNA
Source: RNAcentral
CACGUAGGCACCAAGCGUUGUCCGGAUUUAUUGGGCGUAAAGAGCUCGUAGGCGGUUCAGUAAGUCGGGUGUGAAAACUCUGGGCUCAACCCAGAGCCGCCACUCGAUACUGCUGUGACUUGAGUUCGGUAGGGGAGCGGGGAAUUCCUAGUGUAGCGGUGAAAUGCGCAGAUAUUAGGAGGAACACCGGUGGCGAGGGCGCCGCUCUGGGCCGAUACUGACGCUGAGGAGCGAAAGCGUGGGUAGCAAACAGG